RNAcentral lists this transfer RNA (62 nucleotides) under Liposcelis bostrychophila. Its description in RNAcentral is "tRNA-Cys". Lineage: Eukaryota; Metazoa; Arthropoda; Insecta; Psocodea; Liposcelididae. The record is from RNAcentral.
GCGAGUUCUUAAGAAUAGGGUUAAAUUGCAAGUUUAAACUUUGGGUGAACCUCUUAUAACAU